Molecule: ribosomal RNA, 498 nt
Filed under: Enterococcus faecium
Lineage: Bacteria; Bacillati; Bacillota; Bacilli; Lactobacillales; Enterococcaceae
Description: partial 23S ribosomal RNA
Rfam family: Bacterial large subunit ribosomal RNA
Source: RNAcentral
AUUGUGUGAAUACAUAGCACAUUCGAGGUAGACGCAGAGAACUGAAACAUCUAAGUACCUGCAGGAAGAGAAAGAAAAUUCGAUUCCCUGAGUAGCGGCGAGCGAAACGGGAAAAGCCCAAACCAGCAAGCUUGCUUGUUGGGGUUGUAGGACUCCAAUAUGGUAGUUCUUUCAGAUAGUCGAAUGACUUGGAAAAGUCAGUCAAAGAGGGUAAAAACCCCGUAGACGAAAUGUGGAAGACACCUAGGAGGAUCCUGAGUACGGCGGAACACGAGAAAUUCCGUCGGAAUCCGGGAGGACCAUCUCCCAAGGCUAAAUACUCCCUAGUGACCGAUAGUGAACCAGUACCGUGAGGGAAAGGUGAAAAGCACCCCGGAAGGGGAGUGAAAUAGAACCUGAAACCGUGUGCCUACAACAAGUCAAAGCCCGUUAAUGGGUGAUGGCGUGCCUUUUGUAGAAUGAACCGGCGAGUUACGAUUGCAUGCGAGGUUAAGUUGA